RNAcentral lists this ribosomal RNA (422 nucleotides) under uncultured Anaerostipes sp. RNAcentral's name for it is "bacterial SSU rRNA". It matches the Rfam family "Bacterial small subunit ribosomal RNA", at positions 355 to 794 of the family's 1533-position model. Lineage: Bacteria; Bacillati; Bacillota; Clostridia; Lachnospirales; Lachnospiraceae. The record is from RNAcentral.
UGGGGAAUAUUGCACAAUGGGGGAAACCCUGAUGCAGCGACGCCGCGUGAGCGAAGAAGUAUUUCGGUAUGUAAAGCUCUAUCAGCAGGGAAGAUGAUGACGGUACCUGACUAAGAAGCCCCGGCUAACUACGUGCCAGCAGCCGCGGUAAUACGUAGGGGGCAAGCGUUAUCCGGAUUUAUUGGGUUUAAAGGGUGCGUAGGCUGUAAGUCAAGUCAGCGGUGAAAAGUCGGGGCUAAACCUUGAGGGUGCCGUUGAAACUGAUUUACUAGAAUGUGGAUGAUGCCGGCGGAAUGUGUCAAGUAGCGGUGAAAUGCAUAGAUAUGACACAGAAGGCCGAUUGCGAAGGCAGCUGGCAAAGGCACGAUUGACGCUGAGGCACGAAAGUGCGGGGAUCGAACAGGAUUAGAUACCCUGGUAGU